AGUCAAACGAUGAACAAAAGAAGUAACAAUAGAUUCUUUUAUAGAGAGUUAGUGAUUGGUGUAAACUAACAAAGAUAUAUUGUGAAUAACAUUUGUGAGUGCUUAAAGAAAUUAAGUAAACUAAGCCGUAUAUCUACGUUACAGAUAAGAGUGAUCAAUUUUGAUAACUAGGGUGGUACCGCGGAUUCAACAGUUAUUCGUCCCUUAU
This 208-nucleotide non-coding RNA is filed under the name Clostridium sp. RNAcentral's name for it is "T-box sequence". It matches the Rfam family "T-box leader". From Rfam's summary of the family: Uncharged tRNA acts as the effector for transcription antitermination of genes in the T-box leader family. T-boxes are found upstream of many aminoacyl-tRNA synthetase genes and some amino acid biosynthetic genes usually in Gram-positive bacteria. The record is from RNAcentral. Lineage: Bacteria; Bacillati; Bacillota; Clostridia; Eubacteriales; Clostridiaceae.